CUGAUACGGUUCCGUUAGAUCAUGCACGUCGAGCGUACUGAUUAGAAGCUUGCUUCUAUGACGUUAGCGGCGGACGGGUGAGUAACACGUGGGCAACCUGCCUGUAAGACUGGGAUAACUUCGGGAAACCGAAGCUAAUACCGGAUAGGAUCUUCUCCUUCAUGGGAGAUGAUUGAAAGAUGGUUUCGGCUAUCACUUACAGAUGGGCCCGCGGUGCAUUAGCUAGUUGGUGAGGUAACGGCUCACCAAGGCAACGAUGCAUAGCCGACCUGAGAGGGUGAUCGGCCACACUGGGACUGAGACACGGCCCAGACUCCUACGGGAGGCAGCAGUAGGGAAUCUUCCGCAAUGGACGAAAGUCUGACGGAGCAACGCCGCGUGAGUGAUGAAGGCUUUCGGGUCGUAAAACUCUGUUGUUAGGGAAAAACAAGUACGAGAGUAACUGCUCGUACCUUGACGGUACCUAACCAGAAAGCCACGGCUAACUACGUGCCAGCAGCCGCGGUAAUACGUAGGUGGCAAGCGUUAUCCGGAAUUAUUGGGCGUAAAGCGCGCGCAGGCGGUUUCUUAAGUCUGAUGUGAAAGCCCACGGCUCAACCGUGGAGGGUCAUUGGAAACUGGGGAACUUGAUUGCAGAAGAGAGAAGCGGAAUUCCUCGUGUAGCGGUGAAAUGUUUAUAGAUGUGGAGGAACACCAGUGAU
This 701-nucleotide ribosomal RNA is filed under the name Priestia aryabhattai B8W22. RNAcentral's name for it is "bacterial SSU rRNA". It matches the Rfam family "Bacterial small subunit ribosomal RNA", at positions 36 to 716 of the family's 1533-position model. The record is from RNAcentral. Lineage: Bacteria; Bacillati; Bacillota; Bacilli; Caryophanales; Bacillaceae.